Molecule: long non-coding RNA, 642 nt
Filed under: Homo sapiens (human)
Lineage: Eukaryota; Metazoa; Chordata; Mammalia; Primates; Hominidae
Description: CYP1B1 antisense RNA 1
Source: RNAcentral
AAGUACCUACCACGCCACCCGCUACCUGUAAUAAUCCAUCUGAAGAGGUCGCCGGGCAGCGCCUCGGCAGACAGACUGACCUGCGGGGAGGCAGCACUGAGAAGUGAAGGAAUAUUUGGGAGGAUCAGAAGCUUGGUCCUGAUUUUGCCAUCAACAGGAACUUGAUGACUUCAAGGGAGUCCCCAAACCCUGGGUUUCUGUUUUCUCAACUCUAACAUGAGGGGCUAGAUGCAUCUGGUUUAGUUAGUCUCCAUGAUGGUUUAGUUCGUCUCCAUGAUCCUGUGAAUUUCAGAUGUUGAAAAUCUUCGGAAAAGCCCUGAAAGAUGAACAGUGGUCUCAAAUAGUCAAGACCCCCUGCUGGGAGGAGCUUCUAUCCUGCUCUGUGGAAGAAAUGGGCAUGCCAGAUGCCUGGAAGAUCAGAGGCUCACAUUCCAGCUGUAGGUGGCCCACCAGGUGUCAACAACUGUAGAGUUCCAUCAAGAGUCAUCAUUUUACAGUUACAAGUCGGAGGGGCCUUCACAGAUCCGUCAGGCUCAACACUGCCUCCUUAGUGAGCCUGUGAACCACCCAAGACGGCUGGUCAUCAGUGUCAUCCUCUUCCUUUUCCGGACAACUAUCUUUAAAAGAAAAAAAAAGAGUGUC